RNAcentral lists this ribosomal RNA (222 nucleotides) under uncultured bacterium. RNAcentral describes it as "partial 16S ribosomal RNA". It matches the Rfam family "Bacterial small subunit ribosomal RNA", at positions 524 to 744 of the family's 1533-position model. The record is from RNAcentral.
UACGUAGGGUGCAAGCGUUGUCCGGAAUUAUUGGGCGUAAAGAGCUCGUAGGCGGUCUGUCACGUCGGCUGUGAAAACCCGAGGCUCAACCUCGGGCCUGCAGUCGAUACGGGCAAACUAGAGUACUGCAGGGGAGACUGGGAAUUCCUGGUGUAGCGGUGAAAUGCGCAGAUAUCAGGAAGAACACCCGUGGCGAAGGCGGCUCUCUGGGACGGUACUGGA